Molecule: ribosomal RNA, 842 nt
Filed under: Janthinobacterium sp. 01xTSA12A_B04
Lineage: Bacteria; Pseudomonadati; Pseudomonadota; Betaproteobacteria; Burkholderiales; Oxalobacteraceae
Description: bacterial SSU rRNA
Rfam family: Bacterial small subunit ribosomal RNA
Source: RNAcentral
AGUCGAACGGCAGCACGGAGCUUGCUCUGGUGGCGAGUGGCGAACGGGUGAGUAAUAUAUCGGAACGUACCCUAGAGUGGGGGAUAACGUAGCGAAAGUUACGCUAAUACCGCAUACGAUCUAAGGAUGAAAGUGGGGGAUCGCAAGACCUCAUGCUCGUGGAGCGGCCGAUAUCUGAUUAGCUAGUUGGUAGGGUAAAAGCCUACCAAGGCAUCGAUCAGUAGCUGGUCUGAGAGGACGACCAGCCACACUGGAACUGAGACACGGUCCAGACUCCUACGGGAGGCAGCAGUGGGGAAUUUUGGACAAUGGGCGAAAGCCUGAUCCAGCAAUGCCGCGUGAGUGAAGAAGGCCUUCGGGUUGUAAAGCUCUUUUGUCAGGGAAGAAACGGUGAAAGCUAAUAUCCUUUGCUAAUGACGGUACCUGAAGAAUAAGCACCGGCUAACUACGUGCCAGCAGCCGCGGUAAUACGUAGGGUGCAAGCGUUAAUCGGAAUUACUGGGCGUAAAGCGUGCGCAGGCGGUUUUGUAAGUCUGAUGUGAAAUCCCCGGGCUCAACCUGGGAAUUGCAUUGGAGACUGCAAGGCUAGAAUCUGGCAGAGGGGGGUAGAAUUCCACGUGUAGCAGUGAAAUGCGUAGAUAUGUGGAGGAACACCGAUGGCGAAGGCAGCCCCCUGGGUCAAGAUUGACGCUCAUGCACGAAAGCGUGGGGAGCAAACAGGAUUAGAUACCCUGGUAGUCCACGCCCUAAACGAUGUCUACUAGUUGUCGGGUCUUAAUUGACUUGGUAACGCAGCUAACGCGUGAAGUAGACCGCCUGGGGAGUACGGUCGCAAGAUUAAA